UUUCUCCACAUCAUUCCAGAUGUUUUCUUCUAACUUGUGCUCAUUCACUAACUCUCUCUUCAGCUGUGCCUGUUCUGCUGUCAAAUCCAUUCACCAAGAUUCUAAUUUCGGUCAUGUUAAUUUUCAGCUCUAGUAUUUCCAUAUUGUUUAUGUAAUUUUCAGUUCUGUCAAAAUUCUCAAAAGUUUAGUGUAUGUAUGAAAAUAAUAUCUAGUGAUCCUGCAGAUCUAUUUAAACGGAAGCUUCUGCUGGUUAUCAUUCAUGUCUUUUGGUGUGGCUACUUUUUAUUGUAUGCCCUACAAGGUACUUGCAAAAUUAUUUAUAGAUUUGAGGCUUACUGCAUUAAUUUUCUAUGGCUGUAUAACAGAAUCACCACAAAUUUAGCACCUCAAAACAACAAACAUUUAUUAUCUCAUAGGCUCUGUGGGUCAUGAGUCCAAACACAGCUCCACUGGUCUUCUGUUCCAGGAUCUCACAAAGCCAAUCAAGGUGUCAUCCAGAGCUAUAAUCUCAGCUGAGGUUCCAGUAGGAAGGGAUCCACUUUCAAGAUCACAUAGUUGUAGCAUGCAGUUCCGUAAGGACUAUUGAACUAUGGGCCUACUUUUUGCUGUUAGCCAGAGGCCACUCUCAACUGCUUGCCAUGUGGCCCUCUCUGAAGUCCUGUUCACAACACAGCAGCUUGCUUCUUUAAGUCAAGAGUGAGAGAAUUAAAAAAUAAUAAUUAAAAAAUAGUGGUACCCAAGUGGCUCAGUUAGUUAAACCUUAGACUCUUGGCUUUGGCUCAGAUCAGGAUCUCAGGGUCAUGAGAUUGAGUCCCACGUUGGGCUCCAGGCUCAAUAUGUAGUGUUUGCGAUUCUCUCUGUUCCUUCCCCCUCUUGUGCACAUGCUCUGUCUCUCAAAUAAAUAAAUAAAUCUUUAAGAAAUAAAAGGAGAGAAUUCCUUAACAAGAUGAGCAUUACAAUCUGAUGUAAUGUAAUCAUGUCACCUUAUCACAUACAUCCCAUCAUCUUUGUGGUAUUCCAUUGAUCUUUGUGGUAUUCCAUUGAUUAGAAGCAAAUCAUAGGUCACCCCCUACACACACAGAAUACCAGAAUAUAGGGAUCAUGAUGGGGGCCACCUUAGAGUCUGUCCUCCACACUCAGGAUAUUAAUUUCCUCUUGAGGAAAAUUAGACCUACUUCUUCUGCCAAGCACCUGGGAGCUCUAAAUAGCCCAGAUAAUCUCAUUUCAUUCCCUUACUCAAUACCUAAAAAUAAAUGUCUUUCAAUGUCAUCUAAUUUAUUAAUUACAGUGAAACAAAGAUUUAAACAAAGAUUUACUUUUUUAGCCUAAAAAAAUAGAUGGUACCAAUUUUUCCCACUAAAUUAUAUGGAAAAUCUGUUUUUAGUGCUUUCUGUAAUGAAAAGAAAAUUCUAUCAAUACAUAAUGGAAAUUCAUGCCUAAAAAAUGAGAGCCUAGAAAUUAGCAUAGAAUUAUAAAAUUUUCAGAGCAGUUGAUGUUUUAUGUAUGAAACAUGUUUUACAAUAUCCUCAUAUGAAAU
This 1537-nucleotide long non-coding RNA is filed under the name Canis lupus familiaris (dog). Its description in RNAcentral is "lncRNA (ENSCAFG00845023839.1)". Lineage: Eukaryota; Metazoa; Chordata; Mammalia; Carnivora; Canidae. The record is from RNAcentral.